This 119-nucleotide ribosomal RNA is filed under the name Aegilops tauschii subsp. strangulata. Lineage: Eukaryota; Viridiplantae; Streptophyta; Magnoliopsida; Poales; Poaceae. The record is from RNAcentral.
GGAUGCAAUCAUACCAGCACUAAAGCACCGGAUCCCAUCAGAACUCCGAAGUUAAGCGUGCUUGGGCGAGAGUAGUACUAGGAUGGGUGACCUCCUUGGAAGUCCUCGUGUUGCAUUCC